GACGAACCGUGCGAACGUUGUUCGGAAUCACUGGGCUUAAAGGGCGCGUAGGCGGCUCGACAAGUCAGGGGUGAAAUCUUUCGGCUUAACCGGAAAAGGGCCUCUGAUACUGCCGAGCUCGAGGGAGGUAGGGGCGGACGGAACUUCCGGUGGAGCGGUGAAAUGCGUUGAUAUCGUUUGGAACGCCAAUGGUGAAAACAGGUAGCUGGGGAUGAGCUGACGCUGAGACACGAAAGCCAGGGGAGCAAACGGG
Molecule: ribosomal RNA, 253 nt
Filed under: uncultured prokaryote
Description: partial 16S ribosomal RNA
Rfam family: Bacterial small subunit ribosomal RNA
Source: RNAcentral